This 259-nucleotide ribosomal RNA is filed under the name uncultured bacterium. RNAcentral's name for it is "partial 16S ribosomal RNA". It matches the Rfam family "Bacterial small subunit ribosomal RNA", at positions 15 to 276 of the family's 1533-position model. The record is from RNAcentral.
AAUCAUGGCUCAGGACGAACGCUGGCGGCGUGCUUAACACAUGCAAGUCGUACGGUAAGGCCCUUUCGGGGGUACACGAGUGGCGAACGGGUGAGUAACACGUGAGUAACCUACCCACAACUUUGGGAUAACGCUAGGAAACUGGUGCUAAUACUGGAUAUGUGCUCCUGCUGCAUGGUGGGGGUUGGAAAGCUCCGGCGGUUGUGGAUGGACUCGCGGCCUAUCAGCUUGUUGGUGGGGUAGUGGCCUACCAAGGCGG